RNAcentral lists this ribosomal RNA (1233 nucleotides) under Triticum aestivum (bread wheat). Its description in RNAcentral is "partial small subunit ribosomal RNA". The record is from RNAcentral. Lineage: Eukaryota; Viridiplantae; Streptophyta; Magnoliopsida; Poales; Poaceae.
AUGAAUUGGUGCAAGUUUAUUGACGACUUCCUCCACGAUGCAUUCUCAAGCAAGAUGUACCAAAAGGGUUGUCGACUGCAUUUAAUGCUCAUGUAUGUCGACUGUCUUGAUCUAUCCACCGUGGAUUUCACUGGGGUAGGAGGCCCGCCGCCUACGCACAAGUUUGUUGUUUCUGCGUGGACUAUUAACGCUGUUAAGGUUGUGCUUGCCGCAGACAGGCUGAUGGCCAAGCAUGCUAUAGACUACAGCGUGUUUGGGGGGCCUCAAAACUUUGGAAAGUGGAUGGACGUGCACUCAGCUCCGUCUUGCCCUACUGAGACGAGGGCACCUGUUGAGCAUCUAAUUGGGCAGUUUGCAUCCGGAAUGACUGGCUUGCUCGGGAAGUUAGUUGAGGGGUGGACGUCUCUCAGUGGCUCUGACAGUGACGCGGUUGCGAGGCAGUUCACUUUGUUUGUCCCAGAACGUACACAUCGGCCAACCGGUUACCGUGGCCGGGUGAAGAAGACCACUAUGCGCGGGGCCAAGCAUAUUAGUAAGGACCCGCUCGAACGCCUACAUUCAAAGUUGUCAACAGGGGGCAACUCAGAUGUACAUGAGGCACCAGGCGACAAUACUGCUGCUGCACCGUUGAUCGCUCCCACCAACUCUGAUGCAAGUGGCCGACCAUCUCCGUUGGCUGCAGAUGUGCAGGCUAGAAUAACAGGCAUCCGUACAUCGGGGAGUGACGAGUCGGUAUCUGCCAGGACAGCUGAAAUAUUGCCAACUCUAAUGGCAAUGAAGGAUGCUGCUGUGAGCCAUGCCACCCCAUCAGCAAGCGUUCAAGUGGAUGCUCCCGAGAUGAACCUAAGCAAGGAAGAUUCCCGCUCAUCUGACACUGAUUCCAAGCGCGUGCGUGGUGGCACUCCUGUGUCCACGACAGAAGCGGCUGAGGCGGCAGUUCACAAGGAUAUGCCAUCUACAGGUGAGAGUCCUGGCACAACAGCUCCAGCUCCUGUCGGUGCAGAUACUGCUAAGGCGACUGUUUCGUGUGCUGGUCUUCCACCUAGGCGCCAUAGCCCCCGCAAGCAACCAACAGACAUACCCAACGCAUCGGCUGCAGCUAGGAGCAGGAGAGACGAGUCUGGUUAUGUUCCUGCAUCCACAUUGUGCCCGCCACCUGCCAAAAGCAAUGUGAUGGAGAAACCGGAAGACCGGAGCACAACUGAUGCAGGUUGUCAAGCCGAGCACGAGUGA